GUCCACGCCCAAGCUGCUUGAGUUGUAGAUAGAGAGGCGUUGCCGCAGUGUGUCUGCGGCAGGACGAAGUAUUAUCCUCACAAAUCCAUCAGUCACAUCCAACCAGGAACCCCCCCCCCUCCCCAUUACCGCCACCCUAGCUACAUACUUCCAAAAGGGGGAGGGGGUGCAGUGGGAGGAGGGCCUCAGCUGCUGGCAUCCUUCAGGAGUCUUUAUUUCCAGCAUCAUCUGACCACUGACUGCAGAUUGACAGCAUGAGCAGCACUGUGAUUCAACCGCAGGCAGUCCAAAGCCCUGUGGCCCAGCAGAAACCAGGAAGAGGCCCCAUCGCCUGCCAGAACUGUGGAAAACCUUGUAAAGGGGAGGCCCUCCGAGUCCAGAAUAAACACUUCCACAUUAAGUGCUUCGUUUGUAAAGUGUGCGGAUGCCAGCUGGCCAAUGGCGGCUUCUUCCUGCGACAAGGAGAGUACAUGUGCACUCUGGACUACCAGCGCCUUUACGGGACUCGCUGCUUCAGUUGCCAGGACUUCAUUGAAGGAGAGGUGGUGUCUGCCCUGGGAAAGACUUAUCAUCCACACUGCUUUGUAUGCGCCUCUUGCAAGCAGCCGUUUCCGGCCGGUGACCGAGUGACCUUCAACGGCAAGGAGUGUAUUUGCCAAAACUGUACCCAACCUCUUCCUGUCAACAGUCCUGCGCCCAUACAAGCUGUCCACAACUGCUGCGGCUGUGGGAAGGAAUUCAAAAAUGAACAAUCCCUGGUAGCGCUGGACAAGCACUGGCACCUGGGCUGCUUCAAGUGCAAGGUGUGCAACAAGGUCCUCAACGCGGAAUACAUAAGCAAGGAUGGGAUACCCUACUGCGAAAUGGACUACCAUGCCAUGUUCGGCAUCCAGUGUGAGAGCUGCAAGAAGUACAUCACCGGGAAAGUCCUGGAGGCCGGAGAGAAGCAUUACCAUCCAUCGUGUGCCCGCUGUACUCGCUGUGAGCAGAUGUUUGCAGAAGGAGAAGAGAUGUACCUCCAAGGGUCUUCUAUUUGGCAUCCUCCAUGCAGACAAGCAGCCAAGCAGGAAGAGAAGAGUAAGGUGACCAGGACUUCAUCAGAGAGCAUCACGUCCGUCCCGGCAUCCAGCGCCUCAGGAUCGCCCAACCGAGUCAUUUAUGCUAAGCUAGGAGAGGAGUUGCUGGACUACAAAGACCUUGCGGCCCUGCCAAAAACCAAGGCCAUCUACAACAUAGACCGACCUGACAUGCUGUCAUACUCGCCCUACGUCAGCUACCCAGCCGAAGAAACCACGCACUACGGCGAGGGCAAUGGAGAGAGGUCCCCCUGUCAGAUGAGACCAUCCAGUCCAAGUUCUAACAGUUCUUUGGGGGGUUAUGGACGUUACACUCCGUCACGAUCCCCCCAGAAUAACAGCAGACCAGGAGCAGAGGUUUAUCUUGGCAGUAGACCCAGCAGCCAGGCCCCUGACCCCAGUACACUGGAGCCACCCCUGGGUGGUCCUGGUGGUGGUCCAAAGUACACAGCCACAGUGGGAGGUGGUAGCGUAGGGGUGUCUUUACACCUGAACCCCACCACUCUGUCCAUGCUGCAGCAGCACAACUUCAUCCCCUACUUCAGAGGAAGCGAAAGUGGUCGGAGUACCCCCAGCUUAUCCGCCUACUCUGACGGAAAAUCCCCUUCCUCCGGGUCGACGUAUGUGGCUGCCCCUCGCCAUUUCCACAUACCAGAGCCUGUGGUCAAAGAUAAUAUCUAUAGAAAACCCCCCAUCUACAAACAGCAUGCCUCUAGAACUUCCUGGCAGGAUGGCGAGGAUAGCAAGAGGACCAGUUGGAUGACGGAUGGACAGAUGAUUCCAGAAGAUCUCGACCCACGCAAGUCAACAUGUAGUUUGCCAAUGAAAACCUCAAAGCCAAGUUUCCCUCAUAAUAAAUUUGCGUCUUUGCCCGGUUAUGGAAGGAAUGGCAUCGACAAGGCUGCUGAGAUGGCGGAGGAUGACGCUGAUCCAGACUCCCAAAGCUGGGGAGGCAUGAGAGAAUACAAGGUAAGAUUUAAAUUUCUUAAAUUAUACUAAAUAUUAUUAUUAGUAAGCAUAUUUUUGGAGAAUAUUUCAAAUAAAAUAAAAUAUUAAAAUAUAUAUUUUUCCAUUUGCUGCAGGUGUACCCUUAUGAAAUGCUGGCAGUAACAAACAGAGUGAAAGUGAAACUUCCCAGAGACAUCGAUCGCACCCGACUUGAGCGCCACCUAUCGCCCGAAGACUUCCAGAGGGUGUUUGGAAUGAAUUUGGAACACUUUGACCGCCUGGCCCUGUGGAAGAGGAACGACUUGAAGAAGAGGGCACGCCUUUUUUAAUUAAAAAAAAAAAGAAUACGUUGUAAAUCUACGAUAACAAUGACUAAAUGCCUUGCCGUCAUGUUAUAGAACACCCGUCAUGUCCCUUAUGUCCGUGUGCUUGUGUGAUGCCAUACAAUGAAACACCUAAAAGCUUUACAGCGAUCUCUGACUCCUGAAUGAGCUACUGUUUGUUGUUUGUUUGCAUGACGACUCACCUACUUUGAACCGCUGACUGUUCUCAUGAUAAUUUAGCAGAAAAUCAUAACAAACAAAGCAUGUACAAUACAGGGAGCCUCAGUUUUUUUGCUAUACUUCAUAUACAAUUAUAUAUCAUCCUGUCCUGUCUUUCUUUUAAUCUAUGGGCAUAUUUCAGACAUAGAUGCAAAUGGUGAUUAACCAUAAUUAAUUAAUUUGAAAACUGUGAUUAAUCAGAUGACAAAUUUUAAUCAUUUGACAGCCUUUUUUUUUACAUUUUCAUGUAUUUAACAUUUGAUCUUUUUUUAUUAAUUAAUUAAAAAAAGAUGUAAAAUAUAUUACAAUAUUAUGACAAACUAAUCCAUUUUACAUUUUUAAAAGUAAAAUUGUUAUAAAAUAAAACUAAUCACUCUUUUAUGAGACCUAAAAGACAAUAAAUUACCAAUCAUGGAUUUUUAAUAUUAAUUUGACUAAAUGUCCUUGAUUCACCAAAUAGGGUAAAUUAGUGACCCAUUAGUCAAUAUUUUAAAUUACACUAGGUCCCCAACUUACGAACACAAUUGGUUCCAGACGACCGUUUGCAAGUCUAUUUGUUCGUAAGUCGAACAAAAGGUAAUAUUACCAAUGAUAUAGGUACUACAUGUACGUGUAUACAUAUACAGUAUAUGCGUAUGUAUGUAUGUAAUAUUAUGGAUGUAGUAGUAAUAUUAAACGAAGAUAAUUAAUGAAAAAAACAAUAAUAAAAAUGAUAUAAUAAUACGUAAUGAUAAAUGUUAUUUACCUUUGAAGAGGAGUGGUCGAGCAUACGUCGUUGUGCUGGAAAAGGAGGAGGAGUUAUUGAAAAAGGACAAAUGGUGGUGGUGGUUAGACUCUUCUAAAAGAGGUAGUGUUCUGUGGGUGGUGUAGAAUUAAGCAGGCCUAUUAAUUCUUCAUAAACUUUAAUCACGGGCUCUGUCCGGGUUGCAUCAUACAGCUACAAUUUAGCUUUCUCUCCCCAGCAUCUUACUCGACCUGUUGGUCCCAUUAGCAGUGUCACAGUGCCCUCUACUGGUCAAGCAUGUAGCAGUAUAAAUACUGAUGGAGCGACUAUACAAGGCAAAAUAAAAUAUAGACCAGUCAGCUUUUGUUCGUAUCUGCGAAUGUUCGCAAGUUGGAUGUUCGUAAGUUGGGGACCCAGUGUGUGUGUAUGUAUAUAUAUAUAUAUAUAUAUAUAUAUAUAUAUAUAUAUAUAUAUAUAUAUAUAUAUGUAUAUAUAUAUAUAUAUAUAUAUGUAUAUAUAUAUAUGCAUUCGUUAUUUAAAACUAAUAAAAUUAAUUAAAUGACUACAACAAAAAUAAAACUAAAUUACUACUCUUUGGCAGUGAUUUUUAAUGUUAUUAAUGUGACUAAAUUUCCAUAUAGGGAAAAUUAGUGAUCAACCAAUACAUUUUUUUCAUUAUUUUUAUAGUUUGUAUUUAUUACGGACAUUGCAAUUUGACAAAAUAAAACUCAAAUCAAAUCAAACUACUGAAUUUUGAUACCGGAUGUACUGGACGUCAUGGAAUUUUUACAAUCAUUUCUUUACAUUUCUUUGGUUGACCACAUGGAGAUAUUGUUUUAGUAUUUGUUUUUUUUAAAUAACAAAAAAAAAAUUAUUUAAGUCACCAAAAACAACCAACAAAAACGACUAAAAGUUGACAUUAUUGCAAAGAUUUUGGGGUCUACUUCCAAACUGUACCACUUCAUGGUGUGUUCCAUAUAUGCUGCUGUACUGUCAUGAGAACUUUCUUAUUUAUGUUCAUUUUAACCCUUGUAUCCUGCACUGAGUGACUGUCAAAGUUGCAUACACCGAUGAUGAUUAUUAUUAAGCCAUAUCUUUAGCUUUUUACUGCUAAAACAAUACAAUAACUUUAUUUUUAUAAGCUACUUCCACUGUACGUACUGUAUAUGUAUAUAGUAUAUAUUAGGGGUGUCAUGAGACACCCAGCUCACGAGAUGAGACGAUACACGUGAUUGGGUCCAUGAGACAAAACAAGAUUUUAACGUUCAUUUUAAAAAAAAGUACAACUGAUGGGAAAAACUGACUUUUUAAUUUAAGUCAAAAAACAAUGCAGGUGCAUUUUGAAAUGUUUAUUGUCCCCCAAAUUAUUACUUCAACGAUAUAUGUUAUAAUAUAUCAUGUUACGAUACCUGCAUUACUGUGUGUAUGCUUGAGGCCCCGCCUCCUCCCCUCACAGAGACGGGCUCACUUAAUUCAAGCCUUUGUUUCAUAGAGUAAACGCGCCCAGGGGCCGAAAAGAAGCACAAAGCGAACCUUCUUCCUGCCUGUUUGGAGGUGAGAGAAGAGGAAAACAGGCAUGCAUGCACAGGGCACUAUAUCGAGGUCGACAAAAUGAUCCAAUUCAUUUUCAUUUGUUGUUAUUCAUGUACUUAUUAUCGCAAGACUGUUUUUUCUGAACGACAAAUUUGUCAUGUUUUAAUAUUGCGAGAUCUUGUGACACCCCUAAUAUCUAUGUGUAUGUAUAAUAUACUGUAUAUACAGGAUGUACUGUAUAUAUAUAGUCAUGAAAAAAAGGAUUAGACCACCCUGGUUUCUUCAGUUUCUUGUUCAUUUUAAUGCCUGAUACAACUAAAAGGUACAUUUGUUUGGACAAAUAUCACAAUGACAACAAAAAAUCUAUUUUUUGGCAGUACAAUGCAAUAGAUAUUCAUGUAAGAACUUAAGUAAUUGUGGUUAUUAUCAAUAAAAGCAUGGAUGUUGCUAGACAUCAGCUCUUAAAUUCAACUCUUAUGAGCUGUAUUUGUUAUCGUCAUUAUAUUUGUCCAAACAAAAGUACCUUUACUUGUACCUGGCGUUACAAUGGACCAAUAAACCUAAGAAACAAGCGUGCUCUAAUCAUUUUUUUCCAUGACUGUAUGUAUAUUAUUCUAUUUGUGUUUAUUUAUUCUGCUUUGUUUGUGGCUUGAAAGCAUCACUGCAUACAAUACUGCAACAUGUAUGUGAACUACACAUACUGUAUAUACAUACGCAGUACAGUAUACAUAGCAUAUAUUUGUGUAUGCGAGCCAUUCUGCAUGAUAGGUGACAAUAUCUAAGUUUGAACGUAAAUACUGUGUGAUUAUUUUGGCUUUGAAUGACAGGAAAUGAAGGAUUUGAUUGUGACAUACAGUAAAGGAAUAUGCUUCUUUUUUUUAAGGAAAACAAAUUACAGUACAUUUAUAUUCCACCUUGUAAAGUCCAAAACUAAAUGUUGUCAUCGUUUCCUGUUUAAUAUUCCUCUGCCAUUAAAGUGCUUUAUCCUAACCAUCCUCAUUGUUUGGACUAUC
Dunckerocampus dactyliophorus (ringed pipefish) is the source of this 5836-nucleotide RNA transcript. It is a transcript of the gene named actin binding LIM protein family, member 2, with no coding region annotated. The transcript has 20 exons. Lineage: Eukaryota; Metazoa; Chordata; Actinopteri; Syngnathiformes; Syngnathidae. The record is from RefSeq and is a predicted model, not a curated record.